Molecule: ribosomal RNA, 505 nt
Filed under: uncultured bacterium
Lineage: Bacteria
Description: partial 16S ribosomal RNA
Rfam family: Bacterial small subunit ribosomal RNA
Source: RNAcentral
AGUGAACGCUGGCGGUAGGCCUAACACAUGCAAGUCGAACGGCAGCACAGGAGAGCUUGCUCUCUGGGUGGCGAGUGGCAGACGGGUGAGGAAUACAUCGGAAUCUACUCUGUCGUGGGGGAUAACGUAGGGAAAUUUACGCUAAUACCGCAUACGACCUACGGGUGAAAGCAGGGGACCUUCGGGCCUUGCGCGAUUGAAUGAGCCGAUGUCGGAUUAGCUAGUUGGCGGGGUAAAGGCCCACCAAGGCGACGGUCCGUAGCUGUCUGAGAGGCGGAUCAGCCACACUGGAACUGAGACACGGUCCAGACUCCUACGGGAGGCAGCAGUGGGGAAUAUUGGACAAUGGGCGCAAGCCUGAUCCAGCCAUACCGCGUGGGUGAAGAAGGCCUUCGGGUUGUAAAGCCCUUUUGUUGGGAAAGAAAUCCAGCUGGCUAAUACCCGGUUGGGAUGACGGUACCCAAAGAAUAAGCACCGGCUAACUUCGUGCCAGCAGCCGCAGUAA